Molecule: long non-coding RNA, 1698 nt
Organism: Panicum virgatum (switchgrass)
Lineage: Eukaryota; Viridiplantae; Streptophyta; Magnoliopsida; Poales; Poaceae
Exons: 5
Source: RefSeq, a predicted model, not a curated record
CUAGGAGGCGGUGCUGAGAUCGCAGUGAAACGGCCGUCUUCACUUUCUAGGCAGGGCUUGGAGCAAUUCAAGAACGAAGUCCAGCUGAUUGUGAAAUUGCAGCACACAAACCUGAUCCGUCUGGUUGGCUACUGCGUCAACGAGGAAGAGAAACUGCUCGUCUACGAGUACAUGCCCAACGUCAGCCUCAACUGCUUCAUUUUUUGUACCGAUCUCACCGGUAGAACUCACCAAUCUGUCUUGGUCCAUUUGAGUUUUUACUGAUGAUCCUGCGUGAGCUUGCAGACCAGCAGCGGGGACAGUUGCUGGACUGGGAGAAGCGCAGGGGCGUAGACAGGGGGGCAGUGGCCCCCCCUAUGGUCCCCAAAUUUCCAUUGAACAUUUGAAUUUUGAUUAAAUUUUUCUAUAAAUUAACAUGGUUAGCCCCUUCUAAUAAUGAAAAAAAACAAAUUCCUGGCUCCGCCCCUGGAGAAGCGUCUGCGAAUAACUCAAGGCAUUGCACAGGGGCUGAUGUACCUGCACGAGCACUCACGGGUGCGCAUUAUCCACCAUGAUCUGAAGGCCAGCAACAUUUUGCUGGACAGUGACAUGAACCCCAAGGUCUCAGACUUCGGCCUGGCCAGGAUCUUGCCCGCCAACAUGACGGAAGCCAGCACCAACAGGGUCACCGGGACAUAUGGCUACAUGUCUCCUGAGUACACUACCGGGGGCACCUUUUUCUGUUAAGUCUGACAUCUACAGCUUCGGCGUGUUGCUGCUGGAGAUCAUCAGCGGCAAGAGGAACAACGGCAACAAUCUGUACGGCGACUUCGACAACCUGCUUGAAUACGCGUGGCAGCUAUGGAGGGAAGGGAAAGUGUCCGAGCUGAUCGACCCCACGUUGGGCGAUUGCAGUCAGGUGAUGGCGUCCAUCAAACAGUGCGUCAAGGUGGCACUUCUGUGUGUGCAGGACAACGCCACGGACCGGCCAACCAUGGCAGAUGUUGCAGUGAUGCUGGUAAGUAGGGAUGGCACAACUUCGCUGCCGGACCCGAAGCGACCACAACAGCAGGUAUCAUCCUGCAGGGUCAGGAGUCAGGACUGGUGGAUUGGAGAUCCAGCCGCAGUCGCAUGGCAACACGUCUUGCACCAUUAAUGACGUAACCAUCAGCACCAUGCAAGGGCGAUGAAGCUCAUCGCGGACUAGAUUGGCAUCCAAGUUUGUGGCUCCUUUGGAGGCUGGCAAGUUCAGGGCUAGGCAGUGGCUGGAAUCACCGGCAGGGGGGCUGCUUCCUCCUCUUCUUCCUCCCCCCCUUCUUCUUCUUCUCUCCCUUCUUUCCUCUUCUUCUCCCUCCUCCUCUCCUCUAAUUUCCAUGGAGCUCAUGGGGGUAGGGGGGCUUGAGCCCCCCUUGCCCCCACGCUAAAUCCGCCCCUGGGGCUAGGCACGAGGCAUGUACAAGACCAUGGUCUCACAAGAAGAUGAUUUAUCAUUUUGUUUUAUCCUGCAUCAUAAUCAAAAGUUACUGAAUAUGGGAUAUUUUGAGAUGAAGUCCUUGUCCUUUUUGUUUAUGUGUUGCCCUGAGAACAGAUUAUAUUCAGUUUUGGACCAGCUACAUAAAUUAUGCUUGGAUUUGUGCACUUUAUGAUGCUCUCUGGCAAACUUCUGUUACCCUGAACCAUGCAGGAGCAGUAAAAAUACUAUGCUAUUCUCUCUUUUUG